UACAGAGGGGGCAAGCGUUAUUCGGAAUUAUUGGGCGUAAAGGGCGCGUAGGCGGCCUGGCAAGUGGAAGGUGAAAUCCCUCGGCUUAACCGAGGAACUGCCCUCCAAACUGCUUGGCUUGAGUCCGGGAGAGGUGAGUGAAUUCCCAGUGUAGCGGUGAAAUGCGUAGAUAUUGGGAGGAACACCAGUGGCGAAGGCGGCUCACUGGACCGGAACUGACGCUGAGGCGCGAAAGCGUGGGGAGCAAACGGG
This 252-nucleotide ribosomal RNA is filed under the name uncultured bacterium. RNAcentral's name for it is "partial 16S ribosomal RNA". It matches the Rfam family "Bacterial small subunit ribosomal RNA", at positions 524 to 776 of the family's 1533-position model. The record is from RNAcentral.